RNAcentral lists this long non-coding RNA (845 nucleotides) under Solanum tuberosum (potato). RNAcentral's name for it is "long non-coding RNA (STUB_LNC006006)". The record is from RNAcentral. Lineage: Eukaryota; Viridiplantae; Streptophyta; Magnoliopsida; Solanales; Solanaceae.
GACGAAUACAAAAAUCAAAUCUAAAUACAAACUAUUUGGUAUACAAAAUGAUAUUGUAAAUACAAAAUAAGCAAAAUAAGAUAAAAACUUUGUUUUACAUAUGCAAUUAGGAUGAAUACAUAAAUAAACUUAUUUUUGUUAUUUAGAAUUGAGAAUGAAUGGACAAUUAAGAACUUCUAUUCAACAAUUGAUUCAUCAAGUUCCAUGGAUUCAAGAAGAGUCUUUUUGGAACCAUCCAUAGAGCGGCGGCGGCGGAGAUCUGGAACCCGACAAGGAAACCGUGUGAGCCCUAAAUCAAAAUCACAAGAAAAUCGAAAAAAUUUAUUUAAAAGACUAAAAAUCUGAAAUACAUAAAUAUUUGAUGAUUAUCUAACCAAACUCACAUUCUACUAAAUCUGAAAUACUAAAACAAAAUCAUAAGAAAAUCGAAUUUUUUUAUUUAAAAGACUAAAAAUCUAAAACACAUAAAUAUUUGAUGAUUAUCUAACCAACUCACAUAAAAAUCGAAAAAAUUGACGGAAAAUCCGUAAUAUAUAAAACCCCAAAAUACAAGAUAAUCGGUGAUUUUAAAAAUAAAAGCAACAUAAAUAUCACUAAAUAAUCAAAAUUACCUUUAACAAUUGAGAUAUUUCUUGAGUUAAGUUAGAGAUUUGUUGAACAAAUUAGGAAAACCAUUCAUAAUUUGUAUUUCUUGACCUGCAAAGAAAUUUGAAGAAAGAGAAAAUAUAAAACUUGAAUGAUGGGGGGAAAAGAAACGUGAAUGAUGGGGAAAGAAGAUUACUCGGUAUUUUUUUUUUCUUUUUUCCUUUUUUAUUCAUUAUGGGUUUAGAAUUUGGUCCAAUGAU